Molecule: ribosomal RNA, 252 nt
Filed under: uncultured bacterium
Lineage: Bacteria
Description: partial 16S ribosomal RNA
Rfam family: Bacterial small subunit ribosomal RNA
Source: RNAcentral
UACGUAGGGCGCAAGCGUUAUCCGGAAUUAUUGGGCGUAAAGAGCUCGUAGGCGGUUUGUCGCGUCUGCCGUGAAAGUCCGGGGCUCAACUCCGGAUCUGCGGUGGGUACGGGCAGACUAGAGUGAUGUAGGGGAGACUGGAAUUCCUGGUGUAGCGGUGAAAUGCGCAGAUAUCAGAGGAACACCGAUGGCGAAGGCAGGUCUCUGGGCCGGAACUGACACUGAGGAGCGAAAGCGUGGGUAGCAAACAGG